Molecule: unclassified non-coding RNA, 3058 nt
Filed under: Haliotis rufescens (red abalone)
Lineage: Eukaryota; Metazoa; Mollusca; Gastropoda; Lepetellida; Haliotidae
Description: protein BANP-like, transcript variant X2
Source: RNAcentral
AAAUUAUGAAACAGAUGAAAAACACAUGAAUGGACUGUGUAAGAUGUGACGAUGUGACAAAGAUAAUGUCUACAGAUGGCUCUGGAGAAAGGAUUCCAGAAGCUCCUCGUAUUAUUGCUGUCGAAACAUCGUCAGUAGUAACAAACCUAGAUGAGUCCUCAAACAUGGAUGGAGGAGGGGAUGAUGAUGAUGGACCUUUGGCGAAAAGGAGACGGCUAGAGGACAGUGAACUCUGUGUGGAUCAGUCAAUAAAGCAAAUACUUUUUAACAUCAACAAAGCAAUCUGCAUGAGAUUGGAGACAAUUGAGAACAAAUUAGACACGUUAAGUCAAAGAUCUCGCACUGUAGAAGAGAAGGUGGAACAGCUACUAAUUCAAGCCAGACAGGCUCCAGGAGCAUCCCUGUCGCCCAACGCCACCGGCUCCAGGAGAGGGGCUGUCAUUGUUGGUCUUCCCCAGAAUGGAACACGGUCUGAUACAGAUGGUGAUGGCAGUGUGGAUGGAAGUGUUCAGAACCUUGGUCCUAAUGUCACCCUGAUCACACUCAAUACAGAAGAGGAUUACCCUAAUGGUGUGUGGCUUGGGGAGGAGUCUAACCCUGAAAUGAGGGUGAGAGUACCAAUAACACCAAGUGACCUUUUACAUGUGCACUCGAACUGCCGCACGCCUGAGAAGAUGGCACUGACAAUGCUAGAUUACCUGUUUGACCGGGAAACCCAGGCGUGUUCCAAUCUGUCCGGGAUGGGCAAACAUGGAAAGAAACAACUAGAUCCUCUUAUGAUUUACGGAAUCAGGUGUCAUCUUAUUCAUAGAUUUGGUAUAACAGAAAAUGAUUGGCACCGAAUAAAACAAAACAUUGACUCAAAGUGUCGCACUGCAUUCCGAAGAAAACAAAGAGGGAUGCCAUUGACGGUAAAAGCAUUUAGAGGAAAGGCGCCUCCAACUUAUGUAAAUAUUGGGUCACAUUUACCGGGAGAGCUAGGUUGUCAGAGCGAUGAGGAUUCAAUCAGUCACGAAGACUCUGAGUUACAUAUCCAUCAGGCUGAAGUGGACAGUAUCCAGCAAGCCGUGUCUACUAUGCAAGGGGAGGCAAUCCAGCAAGGAGAGAUACAAAUACUCCACGCCACUCCGGAACAAAUAUCCCAGCUACAGCAAGCUCAUCAUAUACAAAUACUCCAGGGAGAUCAAGUCAUAGGGCAAAUACAGCAAGGGGAUGUGGCAGCAUUAGGGGAUGGCAUCCAGGUUGCUACGGUAACGACAGACUCAGGAGAAGUUCUACACAUACAGCAGGCACCUGCAGUAGUGCCGGAAGUGACAGAGUAGUGGUUGGACUUACCUCCCUUGUUGUACAUAUUACCAUGGAAGGCAGCACAGUCUUCAUUGUUCAUUUGGCUGUUCAGCAUUCAGCUUCGGAGAGAACUAUUUUUUCCUUUGAGGGACUGUGUAACAAUUGGAAGAAUACAAAUUGUGCACUUUUGUUGUUGGAUCCUCCAGUUCAUCGUUUGGAAAGCAACUUUUCAAUAACUGAGUGAUGAGUUGGUGAAUCAGGUUGUCUGUGUCUGUGUCUGUGUCUGUGUCUGUGUGUGUGUGUGUGUGUGUGUGUGUGUCGCUCAGGCCUACUGGUGGACAACAGAAGACAAUAAUGUUUGGGAAUAGUACCGGCAUUACCAAGUUUGCUCUCACGCGGAAAGUCGUUUAAUAUAUAUGUUAAUCAUUUAAACAUGAAUCUUCACCUUGAACUUCUGUGAAAUUAUAUAAGAUGAACAUGAAAAGGGAAAGUUUUGAAAAAGCUUUGAGUCAUUAAAGUUUCAAUAAAUGAACUCAGAUUCAGUUAAACAUUUACCUUAUCUUCAGAAUACAGCUUGAAUAUCAGAUUGUGAUGGUAUGACAACUGUCAAUCCUAAAGACUUCUGUUGGCAUGCUAAUGGAACAUUGUUCAAACAUGUUUGCCUUGGAGGAGGUUUGCAGUCAACACUAUCCCUAUGACCAGUCCUUCCACAAAGUGAGUUUAAGGUUUUGACUGUUUUAAGUCAAUGUUAAAGGAAGGAGUUGUGAUAAGUCUGAGCACUCUGAUUUCAUUGUGGGAUGGGCCCUGGUCAAAGAGGGAUGAGGGAAUUGUUUACAGGUUCAUUCAACUUCGCACUCAUAAAUAUUCAGAGAUAAUCUUCACUUUUUAUGAUAUGGCUUGUUGAAAUCAAUUUCUUGUUCUCAUGACCAUUCAAACCUUGAAUUGCCCCACCCCUAAUUAUUCAUGUUUUCAAACACUAGAGAAACAGCUUUUAUCACUUCAGAUUUCAAGUUUUGCACCUGAAGCUGCAGGGUCGUGUGCAAAAGUGCUCAUAUAGUACACUAGAAUCAGGUUUACUUGUUAGAUUUGUAACUUAUUCAAAAACGUUUUAAAAACACAACACCUUUCUCCAUAUUCAAUUUUUAGAAAUCGAUGAGAACAAGAAUAUUGUUUUAACUAGCCUAAUUAACCCACGACACUUCACAUACUUUUGCCAUUUGAUAUUUUGUUGUUAUUUGAGCAUGUUGAGUGGGACAAAAAAGUGCCAAGUUUGCAAAGCUUUAUAAUAUUUUAUUUUAAAAUGUAUGGCCAUUAUUUAUAAAUUAAUUACGAAUACAUACUUGUUCAUAGGUGGUUUUGUUUCCUAUCAUCGAAUCAUCAUGAUUAGAGUCUGUUUUUCUUUAACGCUUUCAUUAAACUGACAUUGAUAUAAGCUCCUGUUUUCCAUACAAUUUAUUAAGCUAGCUUUUCCUUGUUUACCCAACAGUGUUUUGAAAGGUCUCUAUAAACUGCGCUCUUGGCCUUCUAAUCUCUUCCUUUUGACAUCUGUGUCAUGAAACGUUAUUAAACUGCAAGCCCAUUUAUGCUAUGUGUAAAACUGUAUGACAAGUUUAUGUUGCAUAUUCUGAAUCUUCUUAUACCGUCUUCAUCUAUGAAAAGUUACAUUCAAAAUAUACACUGGUUCAUAAGACUUCAUAACCAUGAGAUUUUCAUCAGUUUUGUACUUUUGAUACCUGUUCAUCUUCACAUGCUGUUACCAUGGUUACAGACA